CAUCAUAUACCGGCCGUUAAAAAUUGUCAAUUUUGUGAGCUAUUGAUCGUAAGGUAAAUGAUAUCGAAAAAUUAUAAAAUUUAAUUUCUAAAAGUUUUAAAUGCUCUAAAAAAUAUUUAACGGUAUGGAUCAUCGAUUCGGAAGCUCUAUCAUCGAAAACGACUUAUGAGUACGAAGGCGAUCGUACUCAUAAGAGUAUAGUAGCCGAGCUCUAUAUAUAUAUAUAGAGCUAGUCUCCUAUUCUAUCUAUAGUACCGGGGCUCCGGUACUAUAGUCUCGUUUUCGAUCUUAGAGUGUUCAAAUCAACGAUCCACACUGUUAAAACUGAUCUAGGGUAUUUAAAGUUUUUAGAAAUAAAAUUUUAUAUUUUUUCGACAUAGUUUACUUUAUGAUCAAACCAUUUCAAAAUUGUCAAUUUUCAAUGGCUACUAUGGCGAGUUCGGAGUUUAACAGUGUAGAAGAAUCUAAAUUUCUUCAAAUUUUGAUAGAAAAUACUUUAAACUAUCUAGAUUAAGGUUAACAUUCUUGAUCUUGAAUUUAAAAGUCCUAUGCUCAAAUUUUAAAGACUAUUCAAUUUCCACCGUCCAUUUUGACAUAAUUUAUUUACUAAGUAAACGAUGUCGAAAAAAACUAAAAUUUUAUUCCUAAGAACCUCAUAUACCCUGUAUCAUAUUUAACGAUUUGGAUCGUUAAUUUGAACACCAUAAGAUCGAAGACAAGACUAUAGUACCGGAGCUCCGGUACUAUAGAUAGUACAGUAGCCUAAUUCAUAUAUAUAUAUAUAUAUAUAUCAUGUAAGCUUUGCAUGUUAGCCCUCCGAAGUAUAAUAUUUUUAGCCGAGUCCCUCACGACGUGUGUAUUUUGAGCGUAUGCACCUCGCCGUUCGAAAUUACGCAAAACGGUACAUAAAAUAUUGGGAGUUUUGCGAAUUUUUCGUUUUGCCACUUUCGACCCCUCGGCGAACAUUAUGCGAUUUCCGGAGAUUCGUCCGUCGGAUUUGAGAUCGAACUACCCUGACGUGUUUAGGACGACCGGGGCAUCGAAACCACUAUUUUGUUUCGUCCGAUAAGGUCACCGAUUUGCAACGAAAGCUGUCAUCUCUCCGAUUUCCAAAAACUACACACACACACACACACACACAUACACACACACACACACACACACACACAUAUAUAUAUAUAUAGAAUUUGGCUGGAAUACUAUUAAUAGUAAAACGCUCUUUUUGCUAUCAAGUUUUUAACCUUUGGAUGAAAAAUUAUAAGGUCAGGAUGAUAUUAAUCGGUUAGAGUUGAGUGGUCCCCCUAGGGUUGAGUGGUCCCCCUAGGGUUUAGGGUUUAGGGUUUAGGGUGGUCCCCACUGGAUUAUAGUAUUUAAUCCAAUGGUUAGAAAUAAUGAAAAGAGUUGAUCCAAAGGCUAAAAAACUGGUAGCAACAAUAAAAUUUUGCUACUAAUAGUAGCCCAGUCCAACUAUAUAUAUAUAUAUAUAUAGAACUAGGCUGGAAUACUAUUAAUAGCACCAAGCAAUUGGUGCUAUUAGUUUUUUAGCCAUUGGAUUAGGAAAUGUACGGUUAGGAUGAUGUGGGCUCCUAGGGUUGAGUGGUUGGUUGGUUGUAUAGUAUAAUCUAACGGGUAAAAAUAAUCAAGGGGUUAUGUAGCACACUGGACCUUUGCAAAGUGCGAGGUUCAAGUGUUCGAUUUGUAUUCCGAACUUUUCCACACUUGGUGGAGGGCCGUCGAUGGUAUACCGGCCUAAAAGUUCGAUCUCAAGAGUUUUGGGCAGAGUCCUGAGAGUUUCUACUCUCGGGGACCGGUCCCUGGUAGGACAGACCGGUCCCCCAGUGAACAGUGCUGCGUAGCCGGCGAGGCAACCGGUCCCUGGCAGUUGAGACCGGUCCCCGAGCGCGUCUGCGCGGGGAGAGACCGGUCCCUCGCUGGGAGAGACCGGUUCCCGAACGUUGGAUUUUCGGGGGCAAGCUAAGAGACCGGUCCCAGGUCGGGGAAACCGGUCCCUCUGGGCGAAAACUGCCCAGACCGGGCUGAUGUAAAUUUGAGUUUUUGAGGGGCCUAUGUGGAUUUUGUUACUUUAGAGGCUAUAAGCAGCCUCUCCUCCCCUCUCACUCUCAUUUUCUCUCCCUCACACUCUUCCUACACUUUUAGAGAGAGCAAGGGAAGGAGAAGAAGGAGAAGGAGGGGAGAAGAGCUUGCUUGGAGGCCUUGGAGCACCAUCUUCUUCCUCAUUUCCNCACCUGAACAAGCUCUUCGAUCAAUUAAUCACAUAUUUUACAACGAAUAUAGUUUACAAGAGAAAUGAUCCGGUACUUUACUUUAUGAAAAAUUUUAAAAAAAAUCUUAACCGUUGAUUAAUGAAUGUUAAAAAUAUCAUUUCAUUAUAUAGCAGAUUAAAAAGUUAUUUCAUGUGAAGAUAUUUUUGUAAUUAAACUAGACAAAAAUUUUAAAAAAAUGAUUAAUAUCCUAAAUUUAGCAUUAAUUAUGCACUAAUUUAAGAAUUAAUUUAAGAUUUGAUUGAUAUCCAAAUUUUAGGCAUUAAUUUUAAAAAUUUUAGAAUUCUUCUAAUUUAGGCAUUAAUUUAAUUUUCGAAAUUUUAGAAAUAGUAUGUUGAAUUUAAAUAUUUAAUAUUUAAAUUUAAAUAAGAGAAAUUUUGUGUUACAAUUUUAACAAAUUUAAUGUUGAUAAUAACGAAUUCAAUAUAUUUAAUUUGUUUAAGAAACUUUUAAAUUACUCUAGUUUAGAUAUUAAUUUUUUAUCACAAAUUUUCAAAAAAAAUUGAAUGUAGGUAAAAAAAAUUUUAAUUCAAUGUAUUUAAUAUGUUGUAAUAUUUUUUAAUGAAAUAGUUGCAGAUUAUGAAUAUGAAAUGAUAAAAUAACUGUGAAUUACAGAUGUUAAUGGGUAUGAAUACCCAUAAUUUUAUUUUAUUUGAAUCCGAACCCAAAUCCGAAAACAAUACUACUCAUUCUAAAUAGUUGAAUAAAAAUAAAUGAGCGAUAUCGAAAAAUAAGGUAUAGAAGCACUACUCAAUUUACAAAUUUCACGUAAGUCUCAAACAUAUAUGGAGGUAGAUGCACAAGCAUCUUUGACAUGUCAAUCACUGUUAUAGAAGAAAAGACGGAAUGAAAAGGAGCAGAGUUUAUUUAAGAGUUCCACACUUUUCUUAGCACCGCCGUUGUGCUUUCCUAUCACAACACUACUGUCUCAAAUCAUGCCUUUUUUAUAGUGAUCUGAGCCUUGAAUAUGUCUUUAGCUAGCUUAUGCCAUGCAGGCGUGUAAAGAUGGAGCCAUGCAUGCCUGGAUCCGGUGGCUCCCUAACAGAUUUGGGAAUUUCUUCUCGGUUGAUCUUUUCUGGGUAUUGGGCUCGCUUCCGAUCUGACGCCGUUGGCACUCGGAAAUCGGUAGUACAUGGCCUCUCCUGGCCCUCUUGUUGAUACACGCCUCCCUUGAUCUUGGUUGGUCCUUCUAGAAUUUGCUUGCAGUCCUACAGUCUCAUUUUUCUGAAUAGAGGAGGGCUUACUGCUCGCUGCUGCUGCUGCUGCUGCUGCUGCUGCUUCAUGGGCAUGCUCAAAUGUUGGCUUCCCCUCCUGUAGCGAUAUGCGGUCUGCGCUUUUGUCGUGGCCUCUUUUCUCCGAGCUGACAUCCUUAACCUGCUGUUCCUUUUCCUUUGUCAGAUUGUCUGUUGCUGUGUUGUCGAUUGGCUGCUUAGUACUAGAUUUCAGGCCUUUUUUGACUUCUUCGCUCUUUUUGUUACCUUCUUUUAUCGUGGGAUCGACCUUAUCGGAUUCCUGAGAUGAGGAGUCACCUCCUGCUGCAGCUGCUGUUGCUGCGAUGGGCGGUUCCUCCGUGUUUGCGCCCGGCGGUUUGCUCGCUCCAUUCGUCUCCGAGCUCGGACGUGGUCCCGAAGGCGGCGGCGGCGGCAGCGGCUUUUGCGCAUAGUCGCUGCUCACUCCAUUCAUUGCCGAGCCCGGAGGUGGUCCUGAAGGCGGCGGCGGCUUUUGCGCAGCAGUUCCUUCAUCUGUGGGACUAGAGCAGCAACAGAAGAUCUCCCAACACAUAGUGAGUGAUAGUGCACUCUCUCUCUCUCUCUCUCUCUCUCUCUCGCUCUCUCUCUCUCUCUCUCUCUCGAUCUCUCGCUUUUCCUCCAAAGUUAACAGAUUGAGAAGCUCGACAGGAAAGAAUUGGAGGAAAAAUUUUAUUUGUGUUAUGUAUGUAUAUGGUAAUCUUCCACCUCUCGUAUCCAAAUUAGAUCUGAAUCAGUAGUGAGAUGAGCAUGACAAUGAAGUGUCUAAUUAUGGGAUAAGAAGGGGUGGCGUACUAGCGUUACUCUUUCUCCAUUCUUGCAGCAUAAUACUUUGCCUAGAUUCUAAUUCCGUGUCUGGUAUGCUGUUGCAAGUCAUUCUCCCACUAAUUAGAUGCCCUAAUAAUUAUGGGAUUAAGAAGUGCUUAGUAAUUAAUUAAUUCAUUCCAUUAUGGAUACAAGAGGACCUGGUUCUGAUAUAAUGGUGGAAAUGAGCCAAGAGUAAGUGCCCCUUUAACUAUAGGGGAUUUUUAGUUAGGACCAUCACUUAAAUCUAUUUUAUUUGAUCAAUUUAUUAUUAUUAUACCUUUAUUAAUAAAAAAAUAAAAGUUGUAACAGAAUCAUAGUAACAAAUUAAGUUCUUUAGUUUUCAGAAAUUUUCCAAAGAUUCACGAUUUUUAGUUGACCGAAAAUCGUAAGAAAAUUAAUACGAAAAAUUCGUAGAUCAAUCAACUAAUUUAAAUAUUGCAAACAUUACACAUCAACUUACACAUGAAUUACUCAUUUUUCACUUAUUACCUAGAAAAUGAUGAAAAAUUAAAUUAUUAUACAAUUUUGAUUCUUUAAUUUAUAUAAUUUUGUUAUCAUAUGAUUUUUUAUCUAUUAACCAAACUAUUUCUGAACGUUUUUCAAAUUUUCUGAAUUUUUACCAAACCCGAAUAUUUCAACUUGGUAAAUUUUAAUUGAAUACCGAAUUUGUGAAUAUGGCUAGAGCACUGAUAAAUAUAAAAAGAAUUUUAUUUUAAUUAAAUUAUAUAUCACUCGAUUUAAAAAGGAACUAAACGUUUAAAAAAUAUCAAUAAGUAAAAAAAAAAUUCAGAUGGGCAAAUCAAAAUAGGCAAUAGUUGAAGUGGUCUCUAUAACAUUUUUAUUCAAGCAAUAGCUUCAGUUUAAUAUUUGAAUAUCUUUCUAAAUUCUAAUUGGGUGAAUGCCGGCAUGUUUUGGUCUUCAAACUAUGUGGCUCAUGGCACUUUGGUCCUCAACUUAACUCUUUUUUUUUUUUUUUUUUUUGAGAAAUAGAUAGCACGCUACCCGCUUCGUUUAUUUCAUUUAGAAAUAAACUUAGCUGAAAAUGUGAAUCAACUAGGAUUCGAACUUGGAUCUCGGGUACCAACCACCAAGCCCUUUGCCACUUGCUCUAGGGACGCUCGGUCUCAACUUAACUUAUUAUAAUUUAUGUUUCGAGCAUUUACAAUUGUUGUAAGCAACUCUUGGCUCAAUUAAUUAGCUGAUUAAAUAUUGACGCGUUAUUGACAUAAGUAAUACAACAAUUUAAUUAUUAUCGCAUUAUUAGCCACAAUACUUUUACGUCAUUUCUGUAUUAAUAAUUUAUCAGCAUUUAGCCAACUAAGUUAUGUAGUGAGACUUGAUUACAAUAAUUAUAAAAGUUUAUGUUAAAAAUUACAAUAAAUUAAAGUUUGAGGACCAAAGCCUCACCUGACGCAUAGUUUGAGACCCCAGCGUGCAAUUUAUCCAUUCUGAUUUACUGUUUAUGUAAAGCGAUAUAUUAUUAUUAGGGAUAAUUGCCUAUAUAUCCCUCAAAACUUCGGAAAUAUCUCAUUUAUCCCUACUUUUUUUUUCUUUCCAAUAUACCCCUUAUAUGUUCCUCCGUUAUUCCAAAAUAUCCCGAUAGUUAUCAUCUGUUAAGUUAACGUAGGUUAAACGUAAAUUAAAUAUCUACCACAGUUAAAAAAAAAUUAAAAUGCCACUUUUGUCCUUAGCUUAAGAGCAAUUAAGAAAUAUUGGUGAUGGUAGAAUGGUAUAUUUGAAAAAAUCAAAAAGCAAAAUACUUUUCAUGCCCCUAUCUUAAGAGCAAAUAAGUAAAGUCGGUGCUGGUAGAAGGAUAUAUUAGAAAGAGCAAAAUAGUAAUUUUAUAGAGAUAACAGAGUUCAUUAACAGAUUUUAACUCUAGGGUAUAUUCGAAAUAUGUUGGAACGUAAAAAAAUAUUUUUAAUAUUAACCUUCUAAGAGGAAUAAAUCAGAAAGUCGAAAACGUUUCAGGGAUAUAUAAGCAAUUUCCCUUUAUUAUUAUUAUUAUUAUUAUUAAAGCUUUCAAAAUUGGUAACUUUUAGAACAGAUUAUUUAAUUGGUGUGAUUCUAUUCUACAGAUAUGUAUGAACCAUCCAACUAACUUCUCGUCAUCAAGUUUUGAAUUGUAAUUCAACAAAAUUCUGAAUGGUUGGAUAAAUAGUAUAGUAUAACUUAAGAAUUGAUACAAUUUUUUUUCAUAUAAAUAAUUGNUGUGGCGCAGUUCACUGAAGUCAGUAAUUGCCCACUGGGAACUAUUUUUAAUAGUUCUCACGCCCCUGUUUUCGUGGUUUACUUUUCAGAGCCUUCGGCACCGGCGGAGGCACGGGAUCGCGGCAAGGGGAUCGCUUAGCUAGCUAGCGAGGAGCGGUUCUUUGCCUAGGUGGUUUAUUCUUUCUUUUUGUAGUUGGGAGAGUGAGAGAUUUCUGUAUCCACGUAUAGAGACCACCUAUGUACCUACUUUUAGCACUUGCAUUCGGGAUUUCCUAUUGUAUUUACUUUAUGUCUUAUUUAGUGGAUUUACAGUUUAUCCUUGUCCUUGGUUGUAGCAUUUAGACAUUUAUUAUGCUCUGAUAAUCCUAGAUGUCUUUUAUUAUUGCUUUCAUUAUUGUUGUUUUAGACGCCUUGUACGUUUUAGACGUAUGGCGGGUCUGGGCACGUGCCGGGCAGGCUUCCGCUGGGUCUCGGGGCGUGACAGGUUAAAUCUAACGGUGGAAAACUUGAUAGCACCAAAUUCUUGGUGUUAUCGAUAGUAUCCCAGCCGGACUAUAUAUAUAUAUAUAUUUGUAAAAGUAGUAAACCCCGAUUUCAAACUUGAAUUUGAAUUCCCUACCGCUAGUAGGUACCAGAAACAUCCUCCUCCCUACUCCAGGACACAUGCACGGAGCACGAGAAAUUUUACAACGCAAGAACAACCAGGAAUAAAAACCCUCUUUGCGAUAAAAUCCCUUCUAAAACCUAAAUCCGUUGGUGCCAUUGGGUCCAGGACAAUCGAACAGUUGAAAAUGAGCUAUUGGAUCGCUAUGAAUGGAGUCCAAUACGCUCCAGAAGCCAUCUUCACUGAUUGGCCUCUCCGGAAAACCCGAGUUACUAUUCACUUUAAGUGAUUACUAAACGUCGCGUAACUUUUUCAUCCUAACUCGUUUUCUUCGGAAACUUGACGAGUGUUUAUGUAAUUAAAUUACACACAAAAAUAUCAUCAAUAUAGAGUUUAACUACACAGCUAAAUUCUCAAUCGUCACAUUAUCCCCCCCUUAAAAGAAGUUUCGUCUCCGAAACUUGACUACACACCUGACGUAAUCAAAUUCGUAUACCAAACCACUAUUGCGAUUUCUCCUUCGAGUUUUGAUGAUUCUCCCAAUUCAAAUUCUAUAUAGGCUUGAAUCUGGAUAGAUUAAUCCCUGAAGUAGGGGAGAACAAAACUGCAGUUCCACUCGGACAAGACGAGGGAAAACAUACCAACCCCAAAAUCUAUGGAUCAAAACCUAUCGGGAUCAACACCAUCCAAUAACCUGCUGAUAAAAUAGUACCUCGACCAGGAUUAUUCGAUCCCAUAUCUGCCAAAUCUGAGAUAAUAACUCACCACUUAGAAACUCUAGGUCCAAGACUUCACCUUUCGUCUAGGCCAAAAGGUCCAAGGCAAACAAUACCAAUCGAGCUUGACAAUUUUGUCUCCUCAAUAACUUAAUCCGGUAUAAUCAAACCAACAUAUGAUCCUUACAAGUCAUCACUUGAUGCACAAGGUUGCCAAUCGCAAUAUGCGAUAAUAACCAUCGGUGAUGCCCGACACCUGUCUCCACGAGACUCUGUCGCUGCCGUCCUAAAAGGGACUCAUGUUCCCAGCAACACCAAACACCUGUCUCAUUGAGACUCAGGCGCACCUGUUACCAAAUAACCGGACAAGCAUACUAUUCCAAAGUUUGCACGAUAAGUCAAGUCGCAAACCUUAUACGCUAUCACAUACCGUGACAAUCAAAACCAAUAAUCAGGCUCAAGCCACUCAUCAACCGUGAUACCGAACUUUCCGGCAAAAGACUGAGACUAACAAUCAUAGCAAACCUUUUAGUUGUGAAAGGUACAACUAUAGAGCUAAUGAGCACCCAGACUCAAACCAAAGUCAAAACCCUCUGCAUGCAGUGACGAUAAAUCAACCGCGCAAAUCCUGCUAGAGAAUAAUCUAAGGCUCACUACGUGGUCAGAGAUGACCAUCACUCAAGCUUUCUCACAAGACAAUCUUUAUAGUUUGUCUUGUGACCACACUGACCCAAUCCAGAUACUCUCCAGCAGGGAAAGGCAUUUCGUCUCAACUUUUGAAACUACGUUGUCUGCAGUCAACGUACUUAUCAAAAGAAAAGCGAAAUACCUGAAGAUCCACUGCCAACAACAAGUUGGAAGCGCGACAAAACGAAGCAUCAAGCCACCUGAUACAUCUUUAUAGAAUCAAAACUGUCGAAACAUCGACUUCAUAAGCCAAUUUUCAAAACGAUGACCCGUGACCUAGAGUCGCCACCCGCACAAGCCAGAGUGAUAGCAACAUGAUUCCGAACUUCAGCCAACCAGCUACCAACCCUUUGAGAUUCCCGACUAAUUCCAAUGAGUAGCUCAAAGCAUUCUCAAAGCCUACCGAUCCGAAAAUACACCAACCAAGGUGUUGGGCAGCCGAACACGACGUAUGCACCACAAGGACCCACACCAAAAUUAUAUCCCCGAAGCAGUUCCAAGUAUGCCCACAGGCCAAGUGAGCUGGCCAUAGUCAAAGCACCUACAUUGAUAAUUCAGUGAGUGACAACCUCACCGCGCAAUCCACUUGUGCAACUCGACCAAGACGUAGUUAACGAGCCAAGCAAACCCGCUCGAAAAUAUUAGCACAGAUCACCACGUCUUACCACCAACCCGAUUCAUACUCCCAAUCCUAAGAUUGAGAGUCAUGCCGCCAUAGCUAGGCGGGUCAGAUCACUCCAACAAAUUGUAUCUACGUGGAAUCCGGUUUGCUCCUCUCUCCUAGACACUGUGCCUCUAAUGGAGAAAAGAAGAAAAGGAUAGGCGUUACAGCCCUGCCCAUCAAACCUGGAGGAGCAAUACCUAUGCUGUAGCCUCAAAAGUGGCUGGUAAUGAAACCUCGGGUUGCAUUCCAGUAGCACGCACAGUAUCUGCGGCCGAAGCCGAAGAAAACACCGUCUCCGCAGGGAUACUCACAGAAGUACUCGUGCCCUAAGUAGGGAGAGUGGCCUGGGCACUGGUAGCUAAUUAAAAUAAUCGUCUAGGCCCAAAAAUAUUACCUGGCCCCUCAAGGCCCCCCCACCUGACAGAAGUGGUUACACCUGGUGUGCGUCACCCCGCCACUCGAUAUCUAUACAAGUACACCGCCACCACUCUUGACUGAGACACGAGUUUGUGCGAAAACCGUAGCAUAUACGAAAAACCACCAUGUACCUCGAGAUUGUUAAGCUCGACUAGCACACCAGGACUCAAGCUUAAACCCCGCACUCACGCGCCUAUAUACCGUAGGUCUUCCUAUAGGUCAACCUAACCAAUGGUUCAGUUUGUNCCCUAUUGCCCAGAUCAGGUUGGAAAAUCUUUCUAAUCUUUUAGUAAAAAUUUUUUAAAAAAUAAUUCAAAAGUUUAAUUUCAGUUUUAUAAAAAUUUUGAAAAAAAAUUAAAUAGUAAAUACUGUAGAUAAAAAGAUUAGAAAAGGCCUGUGGAUCCAGACGUGCUGAGCACUAUCUUAGAAGCGAAAUUGUCCAUCCACGUGCGAGGCUUUCCGGCAAUUACUUCUAGUGAUACAACAUCCACGCUCCACCUCGUCAGCGCAUUUUGGCGCAAAAUGAACCCAACAAGUUUCAGAUCCAGCGAAAUAUUAGAAAACUCGGUGGAAAUCAGCACAAAAUAUUAAUGGCGAGAAAAUAAAUGAUGUUACGCCCUGGUGUCCUUUUUUUGGUUUUAAAAAGGAUGCGGAAGUGUCCAAAAAUCUGUUCUUUUUUUUUUGAAGCCUUGACCCCAAGGGAUGUCAGAUCUGCCACAAAUAUGGGAAACCCACUGUUCACACAGAUAAAGUCUAUCCUAUAUUUGCACGGUGUCGCACAGUACAAGAUACGACCAUAUUGUAUACACAUCCAAAAACAAUCACCACAUCACAUAAACCACUUUCACAUUCAUUCCAUCACAAGUUUACCAUAUUUUCAUCAUAAAAUCACAUCUAUUAGUUUAAAACAUUUAUCACUCGAAAAUUCAUUUUGAAAUACUAAAAAUUAUGAAGAACGGUAAAACCUUUUUAAAACUGUUUUCCACACGAAAACUUUUUUCUUUAAAAACAAGCUACCACGAAGGGUAGAAAAUCAUUUCCAAUCUUUUACAUGAAAACCACGAGUACUUUAUUUAAUUUCACAAAACCAUAAACAUUUACUCGAAUGAAACCAUUGAACCAUAAAGUGUCUAAAUUAUUCAUUUUGAAUAAGCAAGGAUAGAACUAAACCAAAUCAACCGGGUCGGAAGCUCUAUCGACCGCUAAAUACGUGCCUCUCGCCUCGUCCCAAUUCGGACCAGCAACAUCACCUAAAAAAAAUGGUGGGGGUAAGAACAUAUACACAUGUCUCUCUUCUCAGUGGUUACCGCAAGCCGACGAAGGCGAGGGGUACUACUCACCAGUAAAGGAAGAGGUAACUAAAGAUAUAUAUAACGAUAAUGUAAUAGUAAUAACAAAUAAGGAAAACAGGAUAUACAUAUGCUACUACUACUACCAUAUGCAUGCAUCAACUAGACGAUCAGUCCCAAAUAUACCAAAUCUAGAAACCUGUCAUAUCAGUCCGCAAACCUCAAGCCUGUGCCAUUGCCACUUUACCUACAUAUAACCCAGACAAGGCCUCUGAGCUUACGGGUUGGCACUUUCAACCACUUUUCCGAAAAAAAACACACCCUUGCUGUGGAUCAGACCGCUGGUGUUCGUGAAAUGCGUACGAGUAGUGUCGAUCGAUGCUGAUAUGCACAAUAGCCAACCGUCGGCAACUAGCCGACAAUCCUACCCCUCAAGAUAUACCGACCGUGUAGGUCACCAAAUAGUCGAACCGACCAAAUAGGUCAGAAUACCAGAAACAAUGAACUGACCGAAUAUGUCACAAUACCAGAAACCAGGAACCAACCGAAUAGGUCACACGUCUCAAGUAUAAUCGCAAAUCCGUUAUACUUCUAAAUCAUGAUACUGGAUUUGCAAACUAACCAAGUAGAGCAAUAAUGAGAAAUAGUAAGGGUGCUUGGCUCAACACAUAAUAUGCAAAGUAAUAGUAAAGAAAAUGUGGAGAGAAUGUCAUCGAGCAUGUACCAUUGUACCGACUUCGGAUCAAAGUACCCACCUGUACCAGUGUAGCGCUUGCCUUUCGAUUGUGGAAGAACGUCAACCGGAUCUAUGAAGGGUCCACCAGGUUAGCAUCUAACCCACAAACAAGGAACACUAAAUCCACAACCCCACAAAUAAUCCCACGGCGAUCGAUUUUCUAAAACCGAUUACUGUAACUCGCCGGGAGUCCCGAAAAUCGCACCGGGACUCCGCCGGGAACCACGAAGUGUCGCGGGACUCACCGACUCGCACCACGAGUCACCCGCUGCCACACAACACCAUAAUAAAUGUGUCAUGGUAGCAAAAACAUAAUCUCACAUCAAAACGAUUAUCGUCAGAUAACCGUUCCAAUCCGAGUUCCCGAAAGUGUCAAUUUCGACACCGAAACCCACCAUCGCUCACCCGUCGUCUCCGAACCCUCGAAAAAACGUAGUUAACCAGCCAAUAAGGCUCAGCGGCAAAGUAUGAUACACUAAUGCAUCGUCGGAAGAAAUUCGAACCGAAACCGCAUUCCGUCGGCGGAUUUCGUCGAAGAACGCACUGAAAAUCGAUAUUCAAUUUCCGUAAAGGCUUCGGACCUUGGACAAUCAGUCCAGAGAUCACCCGCCACCCACACACACUGCCCACAGCAGCCACGAAGUGUAUAUUGCAUAAAAGUCCCUACAAUCACAUAAAAUCAUAUUAUUUUAUGUGAUUUCUGGGGUUUCACGGCUCGACAGCACAAACCGAGGGUUUUUGAGGCUGGCCGAGACACGCGCUGAUAGGUCUCGACGUGCUGAAGGCCAUGCUCGCGAUCCGGAGCAUAGCCGUCCACUGUGGAGAGCGGGGGAGUGACACAAAGUUUAGCGAACCCUACACACAGCGCUUAAACUGCGCAUAUUUCACAAACAGGGGCUCGCUGACCCAAAUGGAGAUGAGCACGAUGAUCAGCACCGAUUGGGGAUCAUUGUGCUCACUCUCGAAGGCAUCGGGGUGGCCUCGAAUCGCCGGAAUAGUGCAAACGACAUGAGACAGUGCAAAAACAACACUUAAAUAACUUACCGGACAUGGGGAGCUAGGGCACGGUCGGCGGUGGCUCGGCGGCGGCAAAUGGUUGCGGCCGGUGGAGGGAGGUUGGGGCUCGCGUUGUAAGGUACCGGACUUCCAAAACUAUUAAGUUACGGUGUACAUUCGAUUGGAGAGCCGUUUGAAUGGUCCCGGUGAAGUUUGAUGAGGUUCGGGAGCUAUCGGGCGUUUCAGUGCGCGUAGGCGCGGAAACGGAACCCGAAAGGCUAGGUUGGGCCGUGAGCUAAAUCCGGCAUUAGCGAGGAUGGAAAGAUGAUGAAAACAUGUUUGAAAACAUGUUUGGAGAGUCUCGGUUCGAUUUGAGACGAAUCGGAGGUCAAACGAACGAAAACGGGCGAAAACGGAGCGAAAANUUUUUUUUUUUCAAAACAAUCCAUGAGUGGUGCCGUGGUAGUAACGUGGCUCUGAUACCACUUUAAUCUAUCGUGCCCCGUGGUCCUUUUUUUUAGUUUUAAAAAGGAUGCGGUAGGUCCUCCGCCGACUCAAAAAUCGCGAUCUAACUAUCUGUUCAGUCACAACCUCUUAUGUGUGUGACUCCAUAGGUUCUAUUCUAUCUAGUAGUGAGAAAUAUUCUAAUCACUAUCAACAAUAUCACUGAAACUCCUUUCAGUAGGUCAGAACAAUUCCAACUCAGCCUAAUGAGAAUCAUCAGUUAUCUAAAUAAUUCUUAUGAGCCUCACAAUCCACCAGUGACGCCUGACAGCAUAUAGUGGCAUUCCAGUAGAAUAAAAUACUGAACCUCUUGGUGCAGUUACCGUAUGAUACAGUCAUUCUAUCAUGAGUCCCGACUAAACGGAGGUCAUGGAAUAACUCAUCAAACCCCAUCGUCUGUCAUAUAUCAAAUUUAUUCGACUCAAGUUUGUAAUAUCGUAAAUCCUUUUCCGCUAUUAACUCUACCUUGGCUAAGAUCUUCUAAACUCGGUCUCAUAAAUCACAUAGGACUAACGCCAUUUUCUACCAAGGGAGAUAGAUUCUAUAUAGGUGCACACCCUAUUUCUACAAUGAAUCUACCACAGCCAACAUACACCGCAAGGAUGGCUCGGGACCAAGUGUAUGUACAGUCAAACUACAGUAAUCUCAUUGUGAAUAGCCGAGACACAGCUGGUCAAAGGAUUAGUCACACUACUACAACAUUGAGUAAGUUACUGACGAGUGAGUAGACAUUCAAGUAACUUCUCGCGUUGGUCACACUCAGUACCCUUGUUCUCUAACAACCAUGUAUUCGCUCCAGUGUCCCCAUACUAUUAACUAGAGACUCGUCUACCUAAAAAGGAAGCGACCUAUGCACCAAUCUCACCAGAUCAAUCACCAUCCCCGUGAUGAUUCGUCAAUCGGGAGCAUUCAGGAAUUAACCACCAAUAACACAUAUCUCAAAUUCUCAACUAUUGAGAAUAUGUAUAAUCAUUUUAUUAAUUUCUUGGACGAUUCAUAGAUACAUACAUAACAUGAAUGAAAAUAAGAACCCAAAUUUAUUCAUAAUAUUUUAAAUCAAAUACAAAUUUAUAUCUUAAAAAGAAUAUAUGUGUCGGCCUGAUUGGCUUAUAAGGCAUACAUCUAAUAAUAUACUCCUUAGAGGAGAAAUUACAUGGUAACACGUGUUUCAUAUCGUGUGUGUAAAAGUGACUAUGAGGAAAAUGAGAUUAAAUAAAUAGAAUCCCUAUAUUCUCAUGGUGUAAGUUCCUCGAGACCUUAAAUAUAAAAUGAUCUCUUAAGUGCCUUUAGUAACUUAUGUCUACAUUCUGAUGUGAUAGAUCAAUAUUCGCUACUUUAGCAUAUUUCUAGCGGUGAUGAAAUAAUUAGCCUUAUGGGGCAUAUCUAGGAAAGUGGUUGGUCUAAAACUAAUAAGUAUGAGAACAAAAGGAAGACAUUUAGAUUAUGUCAAUCAUAUGUAUUCACCGAUCGACCAAUUAUGUUGCUUUUGUAGAAAAGUUCGAACAUAAUUAUGAAUACAUAGUAAGAAAAUAAAGAUUAAGUGUAGCCAUUUUGAGGGAUUAGGUACACGUAAUUUGACAUAACUAAGUUUGUUUAGGACAUAGCGAGUCAUAAUAUGGAUAAGAAUAAUAUAUCGUCUUCGGUUUUCAUAGUUAUUAUGUAUAUAUCCUUAACAGGUGCAUUGAUAGGCUUAUGAGUUGGAUCGUAGGUCGCACGACCUAUUUGUCAGUAUGAAAAUCACCAAGAUAAUUGGAAUUGUUUGCCCAUCACGUGCGAGUGGGAGAUAUUGGUUUUUGAAUCGAAUUUCGGGUCGCCCAUGAUGGGCAAAUUUGACCCGACCCAUUAAGUAAUGGUUUCCUUAAUUGGUUGGGAAACCACCCUGCACUACGUGCAGUUACAAACCACAACAGAGAGAAAAAGGGAGGAAUGGUGAAAACAGAUUACUCUCCUUAUCACUGUAAUGCAUUGAGAAUUUACCUCGAGCUAAUUGUGAUCAAAUUGAUCACAAUAAUGCUAAAAUAGAAAUUAAGGGUUUCUAAACCUAAUUAGAAGCUUAAGAGCAUCAAUUGACAGGUAUUGGAAGUGUGGGAAUAGAAACGAAUGGAAUUGGAAUGGUUAAAGAACUCCAAUUGCCAUUGUAACUCGAAAGCUGAAAUUCUAGUCAAUUUGGUCAAAAAUGAUCAAAUUAACACAAAAUUGAAAAUUAAAUGUUUCCAAAUUAAAUUGGUAGUUUGGGCAUAGAGAUUAGCAUGUUUUGGAAGUGUUGGGAUGAAAUCGGAGCGAGCUGGAUGUGAGAAACGGGCUGCCGAAGCUGCUGCUGCCAGCAGGGACUAAAUUGCGAAACUGCAGGGACUGAAAUGUAAAUCUGCAGGUUGUAAUGCACUUUUGCAAUUUUCAGGGGCUAAGCUGCAUUUUUCUGGACUUAUCUCUUUAAACCUGGUGGCUAAGGAAAGAUUGGGAAACUUGAUGUUGGCAGCUUGGGAGCUUGUGGGCUGAGAAGGAAACCUGACCCAAGCAGGGAAUUCCUGCUGAUUGGAGUUGCUGUGCAGAUUGAUUUAGUAUCUACUUAAGGCAGGUUAGUUAAUACCAGAGUUUAGUUGAUUAACGUUGCCUUAAGAAUAUUCUAAAUCUGAGAAUUCUUGCUGCUAGUGCUUGUUGUCCUGGAAGUGAGCUGAAUUAAACCAUCGAAUUGGAGUUUUCAGCAGAGAGGAGUUGAGUGGAGUGCUGAAUUGAAAUUACAGCUGAGGAAAAAUCUGGGAGAAGUUUGAAUCCUGGUAAAUGAUGCUAAAUUCCUAAGUAGAAUGUGAUUACUUGUGUAGAAUUGAUGAGUUGUUGAUGCCGAAAUUUCAGACUUGCAAGUGGGUGUUGUUGGUGCUGUCGAAUUCAUGAACUCAGCUGAAAAAGCACCAAAUUUGCAGAAUUCGAAGAGGAGGUCUGGUGCAAGCAGGGAAUUCCUGAUAUUGUAGCUGCUAAGCCACUUGAUAUUAUACUUAGUUAAGGUAAUUAUGAGUUGGUAUUAAGUUAUUUGGGUAAUUUUGUUGUUAAGAUCAAGAAUCACUUAAAUGGAAUACCUUAUUAAGGUAAGUUGGAUCUGGUACUUGAUUGUAGGCAAGUUAAUUGCCUUAGAAUGGAUUUCUAAACACUCAGAUUGAAAAGAAGUCUAGUAAAGCUUCAACUCUGAUAUGUUAAGGUUAAAAGUAGGAGUUAUAUUCGCUUAUACACGCAAAUUAAAGUCUUAAUUGGCUGUUGGAGAGGCAAAUUUCAGCAUGGAAUUAGUGAUUGAUAAAGCUGAAAUUGAAUUGAUUAAGUGACAAACCGAGAUAAUGAUGUUAUAAUUAGGAAUUACAUUAAUUACUCAAGAAGAGUUCUAAGCAUAAGAACUAAUUGUUCUAUGCUUAUAGUGGCUACACAAUGGAAAGUAUUAGUGCUGAAAUUCAGCAUGAUGCAGGAAUUUAGCUAGUGCAGAAUUUCAGCAUUUGGAAAUGCUUGCUAUUGGAGUCGAGAUAAAUUAAUUAGGCAGCAAAUUAAGUUACAUAUAAGUAUGUUAUAUUUGGGAUUCAGUUAAUUAUAACAGAGGGAUGUUAACUAGGAGUUUUAUGGGUAUUUGAGCUAAGGAAAACUCGAAAACUGCAUUGAUGGAUUCCGAGUGAACUCUAUUAAGCUACAUAUAGUAUGUGUAUAUAUAUGUACAUAUAGGUGUUUGUGAACAAAAGGUUAACAUGGAAAACUAAAUUGAGAUAGUUCAAUUAGGGAUCAGUAUAAGAGGAAUUGUUAUAUAGAGAUGAAAUUAAAGGUUAUGUAAACUCCUAGUUAUCAUUCAGCUCAAGAUUGAGGGUAUAUUGCCAUUAUACUUACACAUUGAGGUUCAAUGCAAGUUUUGCUGAAAAUGAAUAUGACGUCAGUUUAAGCUCUCCUAUUCUUAUUUGAAUGAAAAUUAAACUUGCUCGAAAGUCUAAAUUGACUUUCCGACAGGUCGACGACGCGCUAAUUACGAUUGAGGCCGUUCUAGUUCUAUUUGCACUGACUCGCAAGAGCGUGUUGUCGACACACUUCGAGACGUGAGAUUCUAGUUGUUGACACCACUACAGGUGGGUGGUGCUAUCCGAAGUCUUUGAAUCACCUUUUAUGUCUAUGAUAUUUCAUUGAACAUAUUUACUUUGUAGUCAUGCAUUAUAGGGUAGUGGCAUUGUGAAGGUGAUAUUUGAAUAUGCGAAUGCUUAUCAAUAUUGAGAAAAUGUGAACUUAGAAUGUGGACAUAGAACCCUAUGAAUGCAUGAACUAUAACAAUAGUAAACUUGGUGACAUUUUAACUAGAGAUUUGGUUAGCAUCGAAAAAUAAAAUUGCAACUAGCAUAAAGAGCUAGUUAGAGUUAAAGUGUGACAUUGUCUGUUGUUGAAUCUUCUAAAGGAGGAUCAGAUCAUACUCACAUAGUCUGUUUUGAGCUUGGUGGUGGUCGCUCCACCCAAGCAGUGCACUCCGGAGUGGUCACUUGAUGGGCUAAAGUAUUUGCCCUUGGACUAAAGUAUCUGUCCAGCAGACGGUCCCAUCGGGAGGCAACUUAGGGCCCGUCAGGGAUUGAGUUGGUGAGUUACAGUUAACCAAAUAGUUAGCUAGAUUGAUUGAGUAUUGGUACAUUACAGUAUGCAUGCAUACUCACAGUUUUCAUACAUCAUUUCUUUCAGCUUGUACAGGCAUUGUAGUAAUUACAUGUUUCGUUGGUUACUAUCUGUUUACUUUUUUUGCCUACAUAUGCCUGAGUAGACCUAGUGGGUGAGUCGGCGAGGUCGGCGGCCGAACCCACUAGGAACUUUCAGUAGUUCUCAUAUCACUAACCUUACAGGUUCCAGUGCGAGCGGUGUGGCCGAGGAUCGUGGCAAGAGCCCCGCAGCUUAGCUAGUUGACACCAGAGUAUAGUAGUUACCAUUUUGAGUUCAUGUGAGACAUUUUGAUGUACAGAGACAUGUAAAUGAAUGUAUCCUAAAACAUGUAAAUAACUAAGUGUUUCAGUUAUACAGUUCAGUUUGAAAGUUUUAAAUUACAGUGAAUUUUCAGUAUAGCUAGCUUACUAUCACUUGUGAGUGUUGCUUGCCCUCGUGCAAGCCAUAUAUAUUGAAAUGUUAUACUGGGAAUUGUUUAUUUCUUUAUACAUGUACUCGUUGUUGUUGAGCCUUGGGCGGACAGAGGAGGUUCUGUCCGUUCGACGCCUGUGUACGAGCCCGGAUCGACCAAAUUGGCGAUAGCGGGACGUGACAAUCACUCUUUUGGAUAUAGAAAUAUUCCUAAAUUUUUACUCUCUUUUUAGAGAAUUUGACAUUUGGGUUGUGGAAACUAGUGCAAUUUUCAUCUUGUGAUCUUGUAUUUGAUCCAUUGGAGCGAGUGGUUUGGUUUAGUCCUAUUUUAUCACGACCCACGAAUUGAAAUUGAAGUAUUUCAAAGACUAAAUUUUACUUUCAACUACCAAAGCGGAAGGCUCAACCCUCCAGAUCUGAAGAAGGCAUAAAAUAAAAACAAUGAGGAUAUAACUAAUGAAGGUUAAUAGAUAGUAACUAAAUGUUGUAAUGAAAGCAACUAACACUACAACAAAAACGGUCUAUAGCGACACUUUUAAAUGUAGGUACAUGUCAAAAAAGUGCUGCUAGCUAAAAUUACCGACACUUUUAAAAAGUGUUGCUAUAUGUGGGGUUGCUACGUAUAUAGUGACAGUUAAAGAGUAUCACUAUAACCUAAAAGAGUGCUGCUAAUUUACUAACACUUAUUAAACCAUUUAGCAACCGCCGAAACUCUAUCUCGUUGGCUGUGGUAGGCGGAGGAGAACAACAGGAAAGGCUCUUCGUCUAGAAUUUCAGUGGAUUGAGUGAAGAGAGAAGAAAAGAUGGCACUUGAUUUUUCUUUUUUUUUUUCUUUUCUGUUUGUAAUCGGGCCAAAUAGACUGGGUGGUGGGUUGAGUAGAGUAAUCUUUUAUUUUUGGUUGGAUUGGGCUUUAUAUUUAGGCAUUAGUAGAUGUUUUUUUUAAGUUUUAGCAUAAAUGGGACACUUACUCAAAAGUGUCCCAAACAUGUGUCCCUAUAACCUAAUUCUGUUGUAGUGUAACUUAUCCCUCUGUAAGAAAAGCUCAAGAUAUCUUAACAAGUUUGUACUAUUUACUUCAUGCAUCAAGUUCUUAUUACUUACCAAUUUGAUUUACAAUCAAUAAGAACCGAACCCAAGGUCAUCCUAACUUGUGCUCAACUUAAACUUUUGGUAGCGAAAUCGCCACACACGCCUUAGACAUGAAAGUUUAUGGAUGGCAAAAUCGUCGCACACAUCCUAUCCAAUCAAUAAGCAAUGAAAUCGUUGCAUAUGCCUUAUUUGUGGUCUACAGCUCCGGAAGGACCCGGCUCAUAGGGACACAACCCCAAAAAAGCAAAUUUCAGCAGGCUAACAGCCUUUACAAACAUCAAUCAUAUUCACAUGCUCAAAGGGUCAUGGUUCAACAACCACACCAUUGUCCAAUAAUUGACUCGAUCAAUCAAUGUCUAACCAAGCUAGGUACAAUAUCACUAUUGUCCAAGAAUUGACCCAAUCAAUCUUUGUUCUCAACCUUUGUUAGGUGUCACUAUGUUUAAUGAUCGACUCGAUCAAUAAUCAUUUCACUCUAUGUUCAAUGACACUAUUUCUCAACAACUAGAUUCUUAUGUCAAGUUCUCCAAUCUAUAUCUAGAGAAUGUCAUGCUCGUUUAUGAAUUCACAACAUAGGUGUAAAAGUCUAUAAUCAUAUAUACCAUAAAGAAUAUAGGAGUCCUACAAGUCAUAGUAGCUAUUUUGACCAUAAGAAAUAUGUCAAUUAUAUAAAUACUAGUAUAUCCAUCUUUACACCAAAAGCUACCAUACUACACAAGAGAGGCUCAAGAACGAAGUUCUUUAUAUAUGCGCCACAGUUCUGGAUAGCACAACCCAACUUAAGACGGUGCCCAAUUCCAAGUUCUAUGAGAAAAUCAGCCAAGUUCAGAUUUCAAUUUCUAGAAAAAGCCAACAAAGUCACCUUUGUUGAUAAUUAGAGGUCAAAAUGUUGCAGUUUCAUCAUAAUUUAUUGCCUAGAAUUAGUGUUUCGGUGAGUUAGAUUGUUUCGAAACCCUCUCAAGGAGUAAAACCCCCAAUUUUAACCUAGGAUCUAUAUUAUAUAUUAAUUGGCACUUCCAUAUCAUUAGUAAAAAAGCUCUCUAAGAGAGCCACAUAUUCCAUUAGCAUAUAAGCCAAUAAAAGAUUGCCACAUGUUCAAUAAAUAUUUUGGACGCAUCUAAUGCACCGUUAACUAAUUCUAAAUUAUGCAUCAAAAAUAAAUAUCUGUAAUACAAUAAAUUAUUUAAAUAUUUUAUAAUAUAUAUGUAGUAUCCCUAGAGUUCUGUAGCUGUGAGAUUUCUGCAUCUGGGGCUUGUCGACACACCUGGAGAGUGUUGGAACAAGUCCGAGUCGUUUUGGUGCAAAAUAGACGCAAAACAGACUCGUUGCGACGCGAGAGCAGGAUUUUAGCAUUGAAAUCUGCAAAUUGUAAAUUUUCAGCAAUGUGUACCGGUACCACAUAGGGGAGUACCGGUACCCCAGUAUAGAUUUUUCGACUGCUGCUCUCGGGUUGCAACUUCUGAUGAGGGGUACCUAUACGGCAUCGGCCUGGUACCAGUACUCCAGGGUAGGUGAGGGGCAGUUUAGUCCUUCAUUGUGUCGUUCAACCCAAUGUCACCCCAGCCUUUUUAUUGACAGAGAGAGGGUUGUGGCUUGUUUUUCUUUCCCUUCUCCUCUCUCUCUCUCUAGCUGGUGGACCGUGCGUGGUGGAGACCUCGGGUGGAGCUCGGAUAGACGUCGACGUUGCGCAGGGAAGUCGUUCGAGUGUGUGCGCGACGUGGUGGUAUCGUUGGGAGGCCGAACGAGCACGUGGUUCCACUUCUUUCGACUUCUCGCCGUUGUUGGACGCGCUUUUGAGGUGGGUUGAAGUUAAGUUACCAAAAUUUUCAGAUUUUCUCCUAAGCCUCAGUUGAUAGGAUGUGUCAUUGGGUUUUGUAUAGCAUGUUUAGUAGCUCGAUUCGUCGAUUUGCAUUGUUCUUAAAUGAAAUCUGAAUUGGAGCUUAGAAUGCUAGUUUUAUUAUACAUGUUGGACUUAGAUUUGACUUAGGAGAAAACUAUAGGUUCUACACUGUCAUUUUCUAAAAAAAACUAACAGAUUUAGAUUUAGAAGCUGUAGUUAGUUUGUAUCGCCGCAAUUUGUACGCGGUGGAUACACAGAAUAUUGUAGAAUGAAAUUACGCUCGUGCUGGGAUGCUGAGUUUAUUUUUACAGUAGUGUAUAGACUGUUCCGGACUGUCGGUUGCCGUCGCUGUUGACAGUGGACCCAGAUUUCUGUAUUUUGCAUCAGAUUGUGCCGAGGGCAUGUUUAUUAUUGUUGUUAAACCAAUUAGACCUUUCUGUUCUGAUUAUAGCCUGUGAGAGCCUAAUUGAGCUCGGAAGAGAUAUACUUGCAUACUCGGUUGGGUAGCGCCCACGAGUGCCACUCCAGAGUCGGAAUCAGUACUUUUGCGUUGUUGUCGUUGUGUCCUGAUUGGACUCGCUUUCCACUAACGACCCAGCAUGGUGGUAGUUAGUGUAGCUUCGACAGGCGGGACGGGUGUGUUCACAGUCCCUAGUGAGAUUGGGUCAGAUAUUGUAUUUUCUACAGAUAGUUAGUGUUGGAUCGUAAUAGUAUAGUUGCAUAUAGCUGUAGACUUGUUCCAACUUCCUGUACUAUCUUUGAGCAUACUUCUGUAGACUUAGUGGUGAGCCGUUGAGGUCGGUAGCGGUACCCACUGAGGACUACUUCUUUUUGCAAUAGUUCUCACACCCAGUUCUUGACCCUUUUUUGCAGAGCCUUCUUCUUCGGCUGCUGCUGUUGCGGAUUCAGAUCAUGGAAAGAGAGUCGCGAGUUAGAUCCCUUCCCGUUUUGCUGCUGAUCUAGAAAUAUACCAGCUACAGGUAGUGUUGGUUUUUGGUUCUUGUACAUACUGAUGUUAGAUUCUCGCUAGAGCGAGUGUUAUGUAUCUAGAGACUAUGUAUGUAUAGAGAACAUGAUGUUAUUUAUAUAUGUUUUUCAGUUUAGCAGCUCUAUGCUACUAGUUGUAGUUUUGUAUGAUUAUAGGUACAUGUACAACUAUCGCUUCGUAUAUAGAGAAAAAUUUUUUGUAUACGGCGGAUUUGUCGGCGUGUCCGAAAAAACGAAUAAUCCGGGGCGUAACAAUAUAGUUUAUAUCAUAUUUUAUUUUACAGUAUUAAUUAUCAAAUACUACAUCAAUCAUUUUAUCUAUACUGUAUAUUAAUUGGCACUUCCAUGACAUCAAAAGAAAUUAAGCUCUCGAAGAGAGUCACGUACUCCAUUAGCAUAUAAGCCAAUACAAUAAAUUAUUUAAAUAUUUUAUAUUACAUAGUUUAUAUUAUAUUUUAUUUUAUCGUAUUAAUUAUCAAAUACUAUAUCAAUCAUUUUAUCAUACUAUAUAUAAUUGGCACUUCCAAGACACAAAGGAAAGCUCAAGAGCCACGUAUUCCAUUAGCAUAUAAGCCAAUAAAAGACCGCCACAUGUCUGAUAAAUAUUUUGGACGCAUUUAAUGCACCGUAAACUCAUUCCGAAAUAUGCAUCAAAAAUAAAUAUCUGUAAUAUAAUAAAUUAUUUAAAUGUUUUAUAUUACAUAUCUAUCUAUACUAUAUAUUAAUUGGCACUUCCAUCACAUCAAAAGAAAGCUCUCUAAGAGAGCCACAUAUUCCAUUAGCAUAUAAGCCAAUAAAAGAUAGCCACAAAUCCGGUAAAUAUUUUGGACGCAUCUAAUGCACCGUAAACUAUUUCUAAAAUAUGCAUAAAAAAUAAAUAUCUGUAAUACAAUAAAUUAUUUAAUUAUUUUAUAUUAUAUAAUUUAUAUUAUAUUUUAUUUUACAGUAUUAAUUAUCAAAUGUUCUAUCAAUCAUUUUAUAUUUUGUAUGGUAUAUAGAGUUUUAGUGUGCACCAGACGUAAGAAAGAUUUCUUCUUUCUCUCAAAAUUAUAAGUGCACCCUAUAAAAUAUUUUCUGCAUCAGGUGUAUAUGUAUAUGGACAUCGCAUACUUAAAAUCCUUUAAUAGAAAUUUUAAAAUUAAUUUAUUAAACUUUUGAUAUUAAAACAUUUGUCAUCUAAUAUAAGUUGCAAUGUAUAAAGUAUUAAUAUAAACCAGGUGCAUAUAAUAAUCUCUUCUUUUUCCAAUCAGUUUUAACAAAGUAAAAAACACCUCUACCUAUUCUUUAAUUUGAAAUAAGUCCUCAAACUUUAACUUUUUAGUUAAAAAUAGCAUUAAAUAUUAUUAAGUUUAUUUAAAUUUCCAAAUAAUGAUAUUAGAAUAAUUUAACUUUACAAUAUUGAAAGUUGAGAAAUAAAGUUAAUUUUUAUAGUAUACAUUAUAGAUUUUUAUCUUUUUUAGUUAUAAUUUUUGUAACUUUAAAACUUUAAUAACUAUAUAUUUUAAUUGACUGAAAUAUUACUUAUCUGCCGCGAAGCUCAGGCCCUGUACUAGUUACUACUAUUUCCAAGAAAUCCUCAAAAAAGUUAUAAAUCUCUCAAAACAUAUAUUGUAGAUUCCUCCUAGAGGUUUUGAAAAUUUUAUUUCUUUUAAUGUUUACCUGAAAAUAAUAUUUACCUCAAACCCUAGUAAGAAAUUAUAAGAAACUUACCUCAAACUUCUUGUCAAGGUAGCUUCUCAAAGCCUAGAGCUUGCUCCGCCUACUAAAGAACCUCCUCCACUUGAUCUUGUUUCAAGAUCCUCAAUCUAAUUGAAAAGUAGCUAGGAGAGGCGGAGAAGAGACUAAGUUAGAAAGCGGAAGAAGAUAGAAAGGGUUUCUUUUGCUUGGGGAGUAAAUGUGAGGGAAAAGAAAGUAAUUUGGUCUAUUUAUAGGCACACAAAAUUGCACAUAAAUUCUCAAAAAAAGAGUCUGCAACAUACAUAUAAGACUACUCGUUUGCUGAAGAUCCAGACUUCUUAUUGGAAAUCCGAAACCCGAAGUGUUCCUACGCUCUGCGUGACUGAGGUCCGGACUCCCUGAGGAAGAUCCGAAGCAACGGGACACUCCCAACCUGACUAUAGCAUUUUGGAAGAUAACUAAGUUUAAGAGAUUAAGAGAGUUAAACAUGCUAAGAUUAGAGUAGUUAUAAGAUAGGUGACCCCUUGGGAAGUAGAAUGUCACAGUUAAAAAAUCCGAAGAUUUUCUGCUUAUUAAUUAACCAACUUGGAGAUUUGGACUCCUUCAUCAAGGUCCCGACUUUCAAGCUUAGAGUCUUACACCAUCUUUCAGAUUCCAGACUUCCUCAAUAAAGUCCGUAAUCUGAAGUUCUGGGAACUCCAAGAAAUUUUGAUCUUGAAGAUCCAUUUUCACGUCGUUUUCACCUCAAUUCAAUUCCAACUUGCUCAAAACCUCUUCAAAUUCUUUCAAAUAGUGACUUUAUACUACUUUAUCCGCACAUUUCCCAAUUUGAUCAAAGUUCAGCGCAUUAUACUGAAAAACAGUAUACUACAUUAUUCUACAUAUCUAUUUACAUGAGAAUUUAUGCUUCACUUUUUUCUUUUAUAUUAUGAGGCAAAUAGGCCUAAAUAGUUAUAAAGAUAAAUAAUUAAGAUUAGAAAACAAAAAAAAAAAUGAAGCAUAAAUUCUCAUGUAAAUAGAUAUGUAGAAUAAUGUAGUAUACUGUUUUUCAGUAUAAUGCGCUGAACUUUGAUCAAAUUGGGAAAUGUGCNUUAUGCUUCACUUUUUUCUUUUAUAUUAUGAGGCAAAUAGGCCUAAAUAGUUAUAAAGAUAAAUAAUUAAGAUUAGAAAACAAAAAAAAAAAUGAAAAAAAAAAAAACAGAAGAGCACCACCAACAACAAAAUGGAACAACCUUUACUGCUUCGCCAAUGAUGAAGUAGUACACAUAUCACCAUGCUUAAUUAAUUUCACCAAAUAAAAUUGCUACUUCUAUACUCAAAUCAGGGGUGUAAAAUUUUGCACCUUUUAAUUCAAGGGUUUUAAAUAGGAAUGCCAAUAGAUUGGUUUCGGGAUAGUUUUUUGUGAGAUAUAAAAUUGAACCUUCAUAAAAACGAAAUCCGAAACCUUACUCGACCCUGCUGGGUUUACAAACUUAAAAACCGAAUUUGAACGUGAAUAAUAUAAGAAACUCGAAUGCGGAAAUGGAACCUGACUAUUUAAUAUAAUAAAUAUUAAAUUAUAUCAUUAAUAUAUAUUCGUUAUUAAAAUAAAUAUAAAGAAAAUUAGAUUAUAUAUAUAAUAAGUUUUUAUAUGGGUUCAUUUCGGAUACAGACGAAAACCAUUGGAAUCCCUAGUUUAGAAUUUUUUAAAAAAACUUUUAGUAUUAAAAAUAUAAUAAUAAAAUUAGUGAGAAAAUAUUAGCCAUUAGAUGAAUUCGGUGUAAAAUUUACAUCCACUUUUUUUAUGUCCACCAUAGAGCAUUACUCUUCAUUAAUUCUAAAAAUUAGGAUCGGAUUUUAAAAAUAAGAUUGUUAAAUACUCUAUUGAGUCGAAAAUCACUUUUAAAUUCAAAUUCACUUUUUAAAAGCGAGGCGAAACACCCACUAGGUCUCUUUCUUAUUUCCAUACUAGUCUCUUUCUUAUCUCCAUACUAGGGAUGUAAAUGGAUAUGGGUACCCGAAUUUUAUCCUAUUCCAAAUCAGAACGAAGCGGAUUUUAUCCGAUGUAAAUGAAUAUGAAUUCAGGUAUGGAUAUUAAAAAAAAAAAAUUCUGACGGAUUCGGGUUCGGAUAUGGAUAUUUUAAAAAAUCUGAACCCGAACCCGACCCGAACCCGAAAAAAUUUAAUAUAAUAUAAUAUAUAUAAAAAAUUUUAAACCAUUAAAUCUGAAUCCAAAGGCCAAAAAAGUACUUACACUUUUAUAAUAUAAAUCAAAAUACAUAUAUCUUUAUAAUCCAAACCCUAAUAUUCAAAAAUCAAAAUCUUCCUAUUUUCCAAACCCAAAUCCUAAUAUUCAAAAAUCAAAACCUUUUCAUUUCCCAAACCCUUCCAUUUCCAAACCCUAAGGCGAUUGGUUCGAGUUAUGUAAUAUUACAAGUAUCUCGACAUAUCCAGGUAUCUUAAAUUUCGGCGUGAGAUUACUACUGAUGCUAUAUUAGUGGGUUUGGUUUAGCGUAUGUUUGGUUGUUCGUAAGUGAUGGAAGUGAAAAAAAUCACUUUUCAAAAAGUGGCUUUUGUAAAAGUCACUUUUGAGUUCAAGUAUUUGAUUUCAAAAAAGUGGAAGAAAAAAAAUACAAUUUUUAUGACUUCUAUUAUUUGGUUCUAUAUAAGAAAAUAAAAAAAUAAUUUUUUUUAUAUGCUUUUUUUUCUUUGUAGAUGAGUCUCUUUGUUUUUUUUAAAAAAAAUGUGUUGGUUUUUUUUUUAUUAAGAAACGGUGGUUUUUUUUAUUUUUUAUUUUUUAUUUUUUGUGGAUGGUAUGGAAGAAGAUUUUGGAUGCGGUUCGUAAGUCGCGUAGAGUAGGCGGCCCACUUUCAACUGACUUCGGAUUUUUUUUUUGCCGAAGUCAAAACGUGGAUUUUAGUUAUAAUCCACUUUAUGGGUUCAUUUUUCAAAAGUCACUUACAUGUUUACUUUUAUAAUCCAAACAAUCAAAAUAAUCCCACUUCGUCAAAAUACCACUUUUAUUGUUUCACUUACGGGUAACCAAACAUGCCCUUAAUGUAGUAAUGUAAUACUGGAUUGCAAUAUUUAUAGUAUUACUACGUUUGGUUUCAAUCUAUAAAAUUUAGUAAUCCUGACAUAAAAAUAUAGUUUUUUUUCAAAAUUGCCCUUAUUGUGGUCAUUUGAAUAUUAUUUUUCCAAAAUAUAAUUUGCACUAGUAAAUUAAUUAUAUUAAUAAGAAAUAAAAUAAAACGACUAAACAUGAAAAAAAAAAUUAACGUUGCAAAAAAUUAAUUUCAACUCAUAAAAAAAUAAAUGAAAAAAAAAUUAUUAUACAUAAUGAAGAAGUGAUUAAAAAGUAUGCGAAAAUGGCGAAUGGAGGGAAGGAGAUCAUGAUGUAGGAGGACGACACAAUAAAAGAUGAUAGGUGUUUGUGCGAGAGAGAAAGAAAGAGAUAGAGAGAGAGAGAGAGUGCGCGCGGCGUGCGAGAGAGAGAGAGCGAGAGAGAGUAGCGUGCCAGAGAAAGGGGGGAGGGCGUUAGAGAGAGAUGAAAAUAAUGUUGUUAAUUGAGUUUGGGGGUGUUGCAGGGUAAAAUUUUUAUUUUACAUAAUAUGUAGUAUUACCGAUUUUCAGUAAUGCAAGAUACACGACCCCCUUCUCGUUAAUAUUUUCGGUAUAAUUCUGCUCGAUUUGUAAUACUAUAUUAACGACUAGAUUACAUAGUGGAUGAACCAAACACAGUAAUCUUGAUAGAAUUGCCUGUAAUCCUGUCAGGAUAACUCGAAGUAAAGAUACCUUAAUAGUUAAAACCUUAAAAUAGAACUAUUUCAAAACCUUCCCAUUUCCUAAAACCUCAAAAUAGAACUAUUUCAAAACCUUCCCAUUUUCUAAACCCGCUCUAUCUCCAAACCUUAAUAAUUGAAACCUUAAAAGAGAACUAGAGAAGUGGUUGUAGACUUGUGUAAUCUCUUAUUCAUUAUUCUCUAAGAGGGUAUUUUGAUUUAUUGUUUUCUCUCCAAGAACCACAACCUCAAACCUAAGAGAAAAAAAGGUGAGAAUUUUUUUAAAAAAAAAAUUGAAAAUUGAAAUUGCUUCUUUGAUGUGGUUUUUUUUUAUUCUUCAUAUAUGUCUUUUUUUUUUCUUAUUUUUUAAGUUUAGUUUUUUAGUUCUUGUAAGUUGUUUGACAAUAGAACUGUCUUUUUUUAAAAAAAAUUUAAGAAAUUUUCGUUUUAUUUUUCUCUUAAUUAGUAUUUUAACUUUACUCUCUUAGAUCCUGUGAACUGUUGGGCAAUGAAACUAUUUUUAAAAAAAAAAUUUUAAAAUUUUUGUUUUUAGUUUUUUGUAUAAUAAUUUUUGAAAUUUGAUAAAUAUAAUUUUCGGGUUUGGGUUUUCGCGUUUAGAAUCGGGUUUUGGGUUUUUGGUCGGAUUCGGAUUCGGAUUUUCGGUUUCGGAUUUUGGAUUUUUAAUCAGGUUCGGGUUUAGAUAUGGAUUUUUAAAAUUCGUCGGGUUCGAGUUCGGAUUCGGGUUUAGAUUUUGAAUUUGAUAGUCAGAUUCAGAUUUGAAUUUUUAAAAAUCCGUCCCGAAUCCGACCCCUUGACAUCCUAAUCCAUACUACCAAAACGUCUCUCUCCAGGCCAGAAAAAAAGAACCACAUGCACCAAAAAAACCUAUCAAAAGAAGCCACAAAAGUAGCACUAAGAGAGAGAGAGAGAGAGAGAGAGACACACACACACACACACACACCACCUUCUUGGGGAGCCCUGAUGCUAUUCUCCUCAUGCAAACAUUACGAAAUUGAAGAAAGCAAGAAGAAGAAGAAGAAGAAGAAGAAGAAGAAGAAGCAGCAGCAGCAGCAGCAGCAGCAGAAGAAGAAGAGCAUUGAUAGUGCAGCUUUUCUUCAUGAUCAGAAAUGGGGUUCCAGCGGCAGAAGCUGUAUUAACAGCUCAACCAGAUCCCUGAGAACAGCUCCUGAUGAGAACACCACUAGAGCUGCUUCCUACUCUUCUUGUUCCCCUGCGAACUCAGCAGCAACCAUCACUACCAGUUGUUCUUUACCUUCUUCUCUAUCCUCUCCUGGUGGUGGGUCUUUCAGAGGAAUGCAUCAUCUGAGGAAGCUCUCUGGGUGUUAUUAUGAUCAGCGCCAUGCUGUGGUUGGCCCAUUUAGUUGGGUGUCAAGAGACCCUUCUCUGAGGGCCACUGUUUCCCCUUGCCCUCACUGCGGAGAGAUUUUUAUGAAGCCUCAGAGUUUGGACACUCACCAGGCACUUACACAUGCAGGUAAAUAUUAAUUUGUAACCAAUCUUCUGUUUUCUUUUUUUUUUUUUCAUUUUUUUCCUUAUAGAAUUCAAGAAGCCCUUUUAGCGUUUUUAUGUUUCUUUCCAUUUUUUUUAAAAAAAUAUUUUUUACUAUAACUUUUGGUUUAAUUAUCAGAUUGUUAAAAUGGAUUCUCUGAUCUCUCUCUCCCUCUCUCUACAAGCAAUUAUUAGUUAUAUGGAAUAAUUGUUGGGCUUCUUUAUUUCUUUUUUUUUUUUUUCCUUUGGGCUUGCUUUUGUCCUGUUGAUUCCUCCACAGCUGGAUGUGUUGCAAAUAUAUUGUUUUAUAAUAAUUGGUCUCUCUCCAAAAAAAAAUUCCAUUUUCUCACCCAAAACAAAAAAAAUAAAAAAAACAAAAAAAAAAACCCAUUUUCCCCCCAAAAAAUUGGCAAUCUGAAGUAGAAACUUAACCAACUAGUGAUUAAUUCUUUAUGGAUCUUACUAUUUAAUUUGUUGAUUACCAACUACCAUGUUGAUUUUAAUUUCAGUCUCAGAAUUGGGCCCUGAGGACACCAGCAGGAACAUAGUGGAGAUCAUCUUCCACUCAAGUUGGCUCAAGAAACAUGCACAGCCCCCAGUUUGCAGGAUAGACAAAGUACUCAAAAUCCACAACACCUCCAAAACCACAGCUAAAUUUGAGGACUACAGAGAAACCAUCAAAACUAAGGCCAACAAGCUGCCCAAGAUGUACCCAAGAUGUAUCGCGGACGGAAACGAACUACUAAGGUUGCAUUUGCAAUAAAAAUUUUACGUUCUGUUUGAGGAAGGACUGAAUGUGAUUCAUUCAUUCAUUCAUUCUGUUCUUUCAAACUUAGCCAUCAAAUUUCAAAUUAUUAUUAUUUUUUACGAUUUUCUAGAAGAAGUAGUUUGAUUUUAUGGAUUGAAGGGCAUUCAAGCUCGACCCCCAUAUAAAUUUGUAUAUAUAUAUAAGAUGCUCUUUCAUAGAAUUUUUGUUCAUUAAUUGCACCACUCACUAACUUAAUUGUUAAUUUCUUUUCCACUCACUAACUUAUUUCCUGAUCCUAAUGAAAUUGUUCAACAUGAUACACUAAUUACUAAUCUUUUUUCGUCGUCGUCGCCGUCGAAAGAACAGGUUUCACUGCACCACUAUCGCCUGCUCGUUAGGGCUCGACCGGUCGGCUGUGCUCUGCUUGAACCCAAAGUGCAAACUAUGCAGAAUCAUACGCGGCGGAUUCGCACCGGACUCGCUGGGGAGAAUAACUACAACAGCGAGCAGCGGGCGGGCGGACGAAACGGUUCGGAGAAUGUCGUCGGACGGCGAGCGGAGGGCGAUGUUGGUUUGUCGAGUGAUCGCGGGGAGAGUGAAGAAGAGCUGUGAAUAUGAUUGUCAAGAGGAAUGUGAUUCAGUGGUUAGCUCAAGAUCAUCAGUAGGGGCUUAUUCUAACUUAGAUGAGCUCCUACUAGUGUUCAAUCCUAGUGCUAUACUCCCUUGUUUUGUUGUGAUAUAUAGUGGUUAAUUAAUUAAUAGCUAGCUAGCUAGUAGAGCCACUCUUCCAACUAAAUGCUUUAUCUCCUCAGCAUGGUUAGUUACUCUUUAGUUUCUUUCAUAUGAAGAUUUUUUGCUGUUGAUCCUAACCAUUUACCUUUACAAAUGUUAUAUAUAUAUAUAGCUGAUAAUCUUCGUGCUAUUUUUUUUUUUUCUUGAUCUAACUAAAUUUUUUUUCUUCUAGCGUCAGAAACUGGAAUGGAAAUAUUUCUUCAUUAACCUGACGAAGGGUACAUAUGUAUAAUGAUCAAAGAACAAGUUAUAGAAUCCAUAGGUAUGAGAGCUUGUUUGGUCCUGUUAGAAUAUCUUAAAAAUUGCUGUAUAAAUUAGAGCUAUUUGAAGAAGCAGUAGUAUACCUGUACAAUUGGAGCUUCUCCUUUAUGAUCCAAAAUCUCUUUUCACUUUCCGAUAUAUGGCACAGAAUUUUAACAUGGUUAUUUUGCUUGAUGCUUGGCUGCAUGCCGCAUGCUUCUCAAAGUAAAAAAGUUAUUUUACUUAGAAGCCAUUUAAAUCACGGAUCACUAGUUAGGACAAAGUUAAGCAGGGAAAAGAACAUAAUAUCGAUCCCUAGUUAUGUCACGUCCCGUGCCCCGCCUAUUUAGUCGGGUUCAGGCACGCCAACAGACCGCCGAACGGACAGAAUUUUUUCUAUACGUCCUAGGCGUCGCAAUCAAUAUAAUACAAGGAGUUCCAACUAGGAACAGUAUUCAACAUACAGAUUGCAUAAGGAAGUAUCAAAAAUAUAAAACAACUAGCUAUUACAAGCAUUCAACUCACUUGCAUUCUUACAUCACAUUUUGCUUACAAUCAACUUCCAAAUACAAUCGAUUAUUACAAGUUUGUUUCUUCCAUUUCAAACCCCUAAGCUAGACUAACUUGAGGUACCGCUAUCUCUGGUCUCGGUGGUAGGGUGCUGCUAUCUACGGAGCUACGCCCUUUCCUCCCGCCGCUCAUGUGUGAACAUGUACCCCCAAAACAAUACGGGGGUGAGAACUAUUGUCCAUAGUUCCCAGUGGGUACGGCCACCCAAGGGAGAAGCUCAACUCACCAAGUCCAAGGAGGCACUGCAACCAUGUUAGUCCAAAAACAUCCACAGAUAUAUUUAUCAUUAUGUAAUUAUGCAACUAACAGAUAUCAUGCCUCACAAUAUGCAAUAUGAAUAUUAUGCAACUAUGCGAUCAACUAGUAGAUCCAUCAAUACUUCUUUCAAUCCUACUAUCUUUAGCUUAUGUCCACUAGCCUCUAAGGUUUCUACUACCUUAGUUUCACAAUUCAAAUUCAACUUACUUCUAAGGUCUCUAUUACCUUAGCUCUUGCCAUUUAUCACUAGCUUUUAAGGUUUCUACCACCCUAUCAAAGCUAUCCACCCGACUCGACUUCGAGUCAAUCAUCCGCGGACUACCGUGUACUGGCUGCUACAACAGCCACCGCACCCCAUGACUUAGCCCCUUGGCAGCGAAAUCGUCGCACACGCCAAACGUAGACUCAAGUCACCUGGCAGCAUAAUCCACAAAUCGGCUUAACCAUUUGGCGGCGAAAUCGUCGCACACGCCCAACAAUGGUUCAAGCCUCCGGGUGGUGAACUCUGCGCACUCACCCAAUUCCCAUUGGUAUCAAUCUCGGUGGUGAAAUCGUUGCACACGCCCUAGCCUUGAUACCGAGGUCACCACAAGUCCUGGGAUUCCGGAAUUCACUUCCACAUCUCAAGGGUCCGUCUCCAACCCUAUACUGUCGACCUAUCUAGGUUCGACCCAAAACAUUCUAGUGGCUGCUACCACUAUAGUCAACAACUUAGGUUCAACCACGCUAGGUUCUAAGUCAUCUCUACCUAGAUCUGAACUUCUAGGUUUACCUGUUCAACCUAUGUUUAGUAACACUAGGUUCAAUAUCAUUCAUGUUCAACCUAUGUUCACGACACUAGGUUAAAUGCCACUCGAUCUACUUGACAUUCUACUUGUCCAUUUCGAGUAAUAUAGCCCACAUGUUCUUAUUUUCCAAUGUCAACUUCUCUAAUCAAUCUAGAGUUAUUAACCAAGUUCAUAUGCCACCUAGCAUGCCUUACGAUAUAUAAUCAUGCAUUUUACUUAGCAUUACUACUUUAGGCCAACAUGCAUUCUUUCAGCACUUUGCGUUAUGUCAUUAUGCAUUCUCCUAGCAUUUAUCACAUGCAUCCAUCUAGCAUUUCUAUAACAUGCCCAUCAUGCAUUCAUCUAGCAUUUUCCUCAAUAUACCAACAUGCAUAUCUCAAUGGUAGGUAAUAAACAUCAAGCAUAAUAAGAUUCAUGCAUCCAUAUUAUCUUAUGCAACCUACCACUACACAUGUAUGCAUCAAUAAUAAACAUUACUUUGCUUCGACAUGGAAGCGAGCUAGACAUUUCGGUGAGCACAACCCAGCUCGUUUCACUCUCGAUUGCUUGUAGUCACUUGCAAUCGGCCUCCCGCGGCACACGCCGCCCGGCUCGGCCCGAUCUUGCAAUUAGUCACCAACCGUGCGUCAAUUUGCGGCUCCGGAUUUUAUAGGUCUAUAACUUGUUGCCACGACACUCGGGAUCCGUUCUCGUAAUUUUUGGACGUCGCCUCAGCCCUCUAGGCGGAAACGAAGCCAAAACGUCUGUUUCUUCAAUAUCUCCGCGUAGGCUCGACGAACCGCCAAACCGACUUCGCCAACGCGUCAGGAUACCUAGCAAUUAGGUUUACAUGGGUCCAAUUUAGAUCAAACCCCCAUAUUUUACAAAACCCCCUUUUUAAAGCCCUAGGUUGCCACUAUUGCAAGAACACUAAAUCAAACCUUAGAUUCAAGCAACUAGCAACCUAUUAGCAUCCUAGGAUUCUAUUAAAUUCAUUUCUAGGGCAUACAAACGAAGCUCCAAAGAUCUACCAUUAAAAGGCAUGGAGUUUACCUCAAGAGCUAGCUCCGAUGGCGAGGAAGAAGAUGAGGAAGAUGGUGGUCCACUUCCUAGCCUCCUUCUCCUCCAACUCCUCCUCUUAGAUCCACUUCUAGAGAGAGAGGGAGAGCUAUCCUAGAGAGAGAGAGAGCGAGUUUUUAGGGCUAAAUGUGGGAAAUGAGAGAGAUGAAGAGAGCCCCCACCUCUAUACCCUCUCAUAAGUGCAAAAUUGCACAAAACAUCCUCAACUAUGCAAGCUGCUCACUGCUCCGAACUGGACAUUUUCGGGCUACAGGGACCGAUCCUUGGUUUGAGGGACCGGACCCCGGAGGAGCGGUCCUUGCUUAAGGGAUCGGACCCCGUAGGUCCAGAAAAUCAGCCUUUUAGGACUUAGUCAAAUUUCAGCAUUUUUCAGCUUUUGGUCCGUUUUUGCUCGUCAGGCCUCCGAUUCAUUUCAAAUCGCACUGAGACUUUCAAAACAUGUUUUCGAGCGUAUUUAUAUUAUCUUUUCAUCCACGCUAACGCCGGAUUUAGUUCACAGUCCAACAUAACCUUUCGGGUUCCGUUUUCGCGCCCGACGCGCACCGAAAACGUCCGAAUGCUCCCGAACUUCAUCGGAACCAUCCUAAUAGCUUCUCUAACUUAGUAUACCCAGUAACUUCAUAAUUUUAGAAGUUCGGUAUGCUACAAGUUAUCUGUCUCUAUCAGUCGUAUAUACCACUGUAACUUUCUAAAAAAAUGACUCAUUCUACAUACAAUGUCACGUAUUGUUCAACUCAUCCACAAACAAAGAAUUAAAACAGAAGAAAUUAAUCUAAAUAAAAGAGAUUAUUAAUUAAUUUAUCCACCACGUACGGAUGGAUAAAACCCCAAACAAGCUACAGUAAAUAAUAAUAAACAUAUUGAUAGGACGAGUUACAGUAAAUUAGCUGAUCGACAUGCAAUUAAUCCUGUUCCUGUCCUGUAUAAUUUGUUACUAAUGCUGCUGCGGCGUAAUAAUUUCAUCAGUGUAUUGCAGGUUCUGCGUCUUAUUAGCCGCUUGUUUUAUAUCGCUGUCUCUUUGUGCGCGUCUUGGAUGUCUUGUUGGAGGACUUUUGAAAAGAAAAAUAAUGUCCCUGUGUGACUUGUUUUUCUUUUAUAUAUACAGAGAUAUGCUGCAUCCACCACUUGAGCCUUGUGGUUGUAUGCACGUGGUUGUCCUUUCAGGCGGUGUUUGAUUUCUUAAAAAAAAAAUAGGGUAAACCUUGGAUACCAUUUUUGUGAUUUGGUAUUUUAUCACUUUAUAGUUUAAAGUAUAACAAUUUUGUAUUCUAUGGUUUAAUUUUUUUUCUUUUCGCUAGCUUCUUCGUUAAUUUUUCAUUAAAUCAUAUACAAAAAACUUCAGAUACCCCGCAUAUAGUUUAUCGAAUAUUCACUUUAGUUUUAACUUUGUCACUAAUUUAACGAAAAAAAUUAGUGGAGGGAAUAACAAAAAGAGAAAAAUAAAACCAGAUACACAUUAAACUAUAUUGGAUACUAAAGUGAGAAAGUGCGAAACCACAUGAUAGUAUUUGAAGUUUUUCCAAAAAAAUAUGCUGGAGCCUAGAAGUAGUUUUCUGGCUUAAAAAAUAAUCUUAAUUUUAUCUGUUUGAUUCUAUGUAAACAUACGUAGUUUCUUUAUUUUAAUGGUAAAUUUUAAAUACCACCUCUGUAGUUUCGCAUUUUCUCACUUUAGUACCCUAUGGUUUAAAGUGUAUUAAAUUAGUGUCCCGUGGCACUACAACAGAAUUAGGUUAUAGGGACACAUGUUUGGGACACUUUUGUCUAAGUGUCCCAUUUAUGUCAAAAUUUUAAAAAACAUCUAUUAAUCCCUAAAUAUAAAGCCGAAUCCAAUAAAAAAUAAAAGGUUACUAUACUCAACCCACCCAACCCAACCCAUUUAGCCCGAUUCCAAACAGAAAGGAAAAAAAAAAAGAAAAAUCGAUUACCAUCUCUCUUUCUCUGCUCACUCAAUCUACUGAAAUCCUAGACGAAGGGUCCUUACCUCUCGUCCUCCUCCGCCGUCACAGCCAACGAGAUAGAGUUCCGACGGUUGCUAAAUGCUUAAAUAAGUGUUGCUAAAUUAGCAGCACUUUUUUAGAUUAUAGCGACACUCUUUAACUGUCGCUAUAUAUCUAGCGAUCCCACAUAUAGCAACACUUUUUAAAAGUGUCGGUAAUUUAGCCAGUAACAUUUUUUUUGACCUAUACCAAUAUUUAAAAGUGUCGCUAUAGACCGUUUUUGUUGUAGUGUAGUUUCAUUUUUAUCUCUUUGUCAGUUUUUUCAUUAAUAUUUCGUUAAAUUAUAUACAAAAAAAACUUCAGAUAUCCGAUCUAAGUUUAUCGAAUAUUCACUUUAGUACUCUUUAGUUUUAACUUUGUCACUAAUUUAACGAAAAAAAUAGUGGAAUCAAUAAUAAAAUAAUAAAUAUGAAACUACGGGGCACUAAAUUAUAUACUUUAACCCACAGGGUACUAAAAUGAGAAAGUGUAAAACCGCAGGGGUGGUAUUUGAAGUUUUUUCUUUUUUUAAAGCAAAGAGAAAUUUGAGAAUUUAUGAGAAGAAAUGUGUUUUCGUUUUUCAAUAUUUUUUUCUAGAAAAUAAAAAUUAUGAAAAUAAUGUUUUUCAUAAAAAUUGUGUUUUCCAAAUUAAUUUUCUAAUAUUUUUCAAGGAACCAAACAGUAAAAAACUUAUGAUUUAAAAAUCAGGUGUAACAAAGCAGUUUGACUGGCUCGACUAUGAACCUAGUUUAUACAGCUAUUUAAUUUGGUUCAACUCUUUGAGCGAGAUAAUUUAAAAAAUUAUUUUGAAUCGUUUGAACCAACGGUCCAACUAUCGAACCUAUGGAGUAAUGCAGUUUUUUAAUCAAACCAGCCAGAUUUUAUAGAUCAAGUCAUAUUAAAUCGAACAGCUUAAAAGCAACUUGGCUUAUUCUAUUUUCUAUUAGUACGGAUUUGUCUUAUAAGAAGUAAAACUUGCAAAACUAAUAUACAUCUACUUAAUUUGAUCUAAAAGUCAGUAUUUAUAAUUAAAUAUAAUACUAGAAUAAUUAUAAUAAUAUAUAAAUUUCUAUAUAAUAAAAUUAAAAAUAAUAAUUAAAUAUUUUUGACAUCCUUCUAACCUCAUUGGUACUAGUAAUAUUUUUGUAUCGCUGUUCGAUCCGACUUUUAAAACAGUGUGAAAAAUUUGAAUACUAAGAACUGUUUAGGAAAGAACAUGGGUAAAAUUGUUUGGAGAACCCUCAACAAUAAUAGGGCAUUCUAAGAGGAACUGAUAUUAAUAAUAUUAUUAUAGGUAAAAAUGUACAGAACUUAUUUGAAGUAUAGAUCCUUUUGAAUUGGCUAUCCAAUCUUUCAAAAUUUUAAUUUUUUUUUUUAUCCAACCUAUCAAAUUAUUUGAUUUGAAUCUAUCAACAGUUCUUUAACUUUAAUUAAUUUAUAGCUGCGGAAAUCAGAUAAGUUCCGUAUGAUUUUACCUAAAUUUUAUAAGAACAACUAAUUUUCAACAAAUAAGUACAAGUUAAAUUAGCUGAUUAUUAUCUAGAAUAAAUUUUAAUAGGUCAGAAAUUCGAACUUAUGUAUGCGUUUUAAAAAUAGGACGUUCAAGUUCAAGUUCGAUCGAGUUCGAGUUCGAGUUCGAUACCUCCGCUACACAUGCAAUAGCAUAGGUUCUUGGAGAUCCUCAAGUUUGCGGCCUAUGGAAAAGAAAUUUUUAAUGUGAGUUUAAUUGCUUGUCGAUAUUUAAAAAGGGGCUGUUAUGUAAAUUAAUCUAGGUUCCUAGGAUUAAAUAAUUCUCAUUUGAUAUAUGUGGUUGCUUUCAAGUAAAACUUCAGCUUUAGUUAUUCCGAUUAGAUUAAUUAUUUACUUUAAAUAAAUUAAAAAUUUUAUUGAAUUAUAGCAAUUUCAGUAGAUUUAACGGUUUUUAUAUUAAUGGUUAACGUGGAUGAUGGUCACAAAAUAAUUAAUUCUAAAAUAGCUCGAAUAAAUAAAAAAACGAAAGUCAAGUCGAUGUUAAUAAAAUAAUAUAAAGCUAAUGAAUUAUUUCAUGCAUGGUGGGCACCCCAUGGAUCCUUCUUACUCACACAAACUUAAUUAUAGUUGUGUUCUCUAGUUAAUUUCAAAUAGCAAGAUCGAUUUUGUAAUGCUUUGCUUUCUGAUGACACUAUAUUGAUUAUUGAUUAUGACUCAUGAUGCUGCAUUGACUAUUCUGCCAUGUUACUAUUAUAUUAAAGAUGCAUAUCAUUAAGUCAAACUAGGCGUUAAUAGCACCAAAUCAUUAGUGCUAUUAGAUUUUCGGGCUUUGGAUAAAGGAGUGUGCGGUUAAGAUGAUAGUGAUUCCCUAGUCACCAUUUGGUUCAGGAUUAAGGGGUGGAAUAACCCUUUAACCCUGAAGUUAUUCCCAAACAUCCAAUUUGAGGGGUGGGGUUAGCUAACCCAACCCUAUCACAGCCAAACAUUAUUUUCUAUUUAUAAUAACCUACUAUCCUUCUUAUCCCACUUACUCCAACCAAAUACUAUUUUAUCUAUACCUGGACUAAACUCAAUUUUCAACCAAAUACAAAAUUACUCUAACCCCAUCUUAACCCUAAACUUAACCAUAUUCCUGGAAUAACAAAUUUUUACUCCGAACCAAACGGUAGCCUAGGGUUUAGUGGGCGGUUGUUGGAAUGAUAUGAUCUAAGGGAUGAAAAUGAUCAAAAGGAUGGAUUUCACGAUUAAAAAUCUAGUAGCACCAGGUGCUUGAUACCGUUGAUAGUAUUGUAGUUGGACUCUUAUUCAGUCAACUUUAUUAAAUUUUGGUGUUUAAUCACAAUUGCUAGAAGCGUACUAGGAAAAGGUGGUAGUGGCCACAGCCACUAAAAUUUCGUAAAAUUGCAUUUAAAUUUUAUAUCAUAAAUUCUAAAUUACACGAAGUAAAUAGGUUAUAGGUGAAAUGUAGAAUUUAUUUAAACUUUAGUCUAUUUUGAUUCAACUAUCUAAUAUUUUCAAGUUUAAUUUUGAUAUUUAAUCUUUUAAUUUAUUUUUAACAUAUUUGAUGGCUUUUUCAAUAGAAAUUUUAGGUCCAUUACUAAAUUAAUGGAAUUGUAGUUCUAAUUUAACUAAUAUAAGCCAUUUGAUGGCUCUUGUUGUACAAAAUUUUGGUCCAUUACUUAAUUUAAUGAAAGUGUAGUUACAUAAAUUAUAAAAAUAUGCUAAUUAUACAUGAAAAAAUAAACGGUGCAUUCAAAUUUUAAAGUUUAAGAGUCAUAAAAUAGCUCAAAUUAAAUGAAUUAAUAUUUUAAAUAGUUGGAUCAAAAUGGGUCAUAGUUUAAGUUCGUACAUUUUUACUCAGGUGAAUCUGUCGCGUCCCAGAGCAAAGCCUUAACUUGGUGUGCAGUUGACCCAACACGAACAAAGUUUUUUCUAUACGUGCAAGGUGUUGGAAUUACAAACAACUUGAAACAACUACAAUUUAGAUAACAUAGUAAUAUAUAUAUAUAUAUAUAUAUAUAUAUAGAGAGAGAGAGAGAGAGAGAGAGAGAGAGAGAGAGAGAGAGAGAGAGAGCUAGUCUCCUAUACUAUUUAUAGUAUAGGGGCUCCGGUCCUAUAGUCUCAUUUUCGAUCUUAGGGUGUUCAAAUCAACGAUCCAUACUGUUAAAACUGAUCUAGGGUAUUUAAAGUUUUUAAAAAUAAAAUUUUAUAUUUUUUCGAUAUAGUUUACUUUAUGAUCAAACCAUUUCAAACUUGUCAAUUUUCAAUGGCUACUAUGGCGAGUUUGGAGUUUAACGGUGUAGAAGAAUCUAAAUUUCUUCAAAUUUUGAUAGAAAAUAUUUUAAACUAUCUAGAUUAAGGUUAACAUUCUUGAUCUUGAAUUUAAAAAUCCUAUGCUCAAAUUUUAAAAAUUAUUCAAUUUCCACCGUCUAUUUUGACAUAAUUUAUUUACUAAGUAAACGAUGUCGAAAAAAACUAAAAUUUUAUUUCUAAGAACUUCAUAUACCCUAAAUCAUAUUUAACGGUGUGGAUCGUUAAUUUGAACACCCUAAGAUUGAAAACAAGACUAUAGUACCGGAGCACUGAUACUCUAGAUAGUAUAGUAGCCUAAUUCUAUAUAUAUAGAGAGAGAGAGAGAGAGAAUUGAACUCCUAUGCUUUUAAAAGUACCAAGUUAUUGGUGCUUAUAGAUUUUUAGCCAUUGGAUUAAGAUAUAUGCGGUUAGGAUGAUGUGGGCCUCCUAGGGUUGAGUGGGUGGUUGGUUGAAUAGUAUAAUCUAAUGGUUGAAAAUGAUCCGAGGAGUAGAUCUAACGGUAAAUAACUUACAAGCACCAAGUGCUUGGUACUUUUUGGUACUUUUACAAGCACCAUAGCUGGACUCUAUAUAUAUAUAUAUAUAUAUAUAUAGGCUGGGACUAUUAUACUCUUAUGAGUAUAGAAUCUCUUGUACUCAUAAAUUUUUAACUGUUAAUUGAUAGGAUGCAUGAUUAGAAUGAUGGUGGCCUCCACUUAGAAUGAUAGUGGUUCUCUAGGGUUGAGUGGUUAGUUGGUUGAAUAGUAUGAUCUAACGGGUGGAAAUGAUCAAUGAAAUUAAUCUAAGGACCCAAAAUUUAUGAGUAUAAGAAAGUCAAUACUCAUAAAAGUAUAGUAGCCGGACUAUAUAUAUAUAUAUAUAGAACUAUGCUCCUAUGCUAUCAAUAGUACCAAGUCCUUGGUACUAUUGAGUUUUUGGCCGUUUGAUGAAAGAAUGUGCGGUUAGGAUGAUAGUGGUCCCCUAGGGUUGAGUGGGUGGUUGGUUUAAUAGUAUAAUCUAACGGGUGAAAAUGAUCACAGGGUAAAUCUAACGGUAGAAAACUCUAUAGUACCAAAGGCUUGGUACUAUCAAUAGUAUAGUAGCCGGACUCUAUAUAUAUAUAUAUAUAUAUAUAUAUA
This 40426-nucleotide long non-coding RNA is filed under the name Ananas comosus (pineapple). RNAcentral's name for it is "long non-coding RNA (ACOM_LNC019622)". Lineage: Eukaryota; Viridiplantae; Streptophyta; Magnoliopsida; Poales; Bromeliaceae. The record is from RNAcentral.